Molecule: non-coding RNA, 371 nt
Organism: Hydra vulgaris (swiftwater hydra)
Lineage: Eukaryota; Metazoa; Cnidaria; Hydrozoa; Anthoathecata; Hydridae
Source: RefSeq, a predicted model, not a curated record
UCAGAUUGAAGAUGAAGGUUUGUAUUUAUUUAGAUGUGUAUUAUGUUACAGAUGUAUAAUGUUAUGUUGUUAGUUCUUAAAUAUAUGUUUAUUUUUAGUUGCUGAAUUACUAAGAAAUGAUGACAAUAUUGAAGCAAACGUUGGUGAUAAUAUUGGAACAAUGUCAGGUGGAAGUAUAGCUGCAUCUUCUGUUUCGAAUGAAAAUGAUUCCUUAUCAUUUGAACAAUAUCAAAAUUAUCGUUCCCAACACCUGGGACCUCUCUCAGAGAGGUCCUUCAAAAUGGAAACGUAAUGGCGGUAUGGAUGAGCCCUCCUUUAAAUGGAGGGCUCAUCCAUACCGGGGUGUUGGGAGACACCGAAGAAAAAACAGC